RNAcentral lists this ribosomal RNA (1224 nucleotides) under human gut metagenome. Its description in RNAcentral is "bacterial LSU rRNA". It matches the Rfam family "Bacterial large subunit ribosomal RNA", at positions 1116 to 2429 of the family's 2925-position model. The record is from RNAcentral.
CACUCAUUAAAAGAGUGCGUAAUAGCUCACUGGUCGAGUGAUUCUGCGCCGAAAAUUUAACGGGGCUAAACUAUACACCGAAGCUUAGGAUACCGCAAGGUAUGGUAGGAGAGCGUUCUGUACGGAGUGAAGUCGUAGCGAAAGCGGCGGUGGACUGUACAGAAGUGAGAAUGCCGGAAUAAGUAGCGAGAAUUAAGUGAGAAUCUUAAUGGCCGAAAGUCUAAGGUUUUUGGAGGAAGGUUCGUCCGCUCCAAGUAAGUCGGGAGCUAAGGUCAGGCCGAAAGGCGUAGCCGAUGCACAAACGGUUGAUAUUCCGUUACCGUCUACAAUUUAAACAAAGGGACACAUACAAAGCGUUUAACCCGGGCGAUGGUUGACCCGGGCGCAAGGGACUGAAAUUAGAGUAGGGAAGUAAAUGUGGCGUAUGGCGAGAAAAGCUUUGUGUAUAGAAGUAGACGCCCGUACCGCAAACCGACACAGGUGGACAGGAAGAGAAUUCUAAGGCCAGCGGGAGAAGGGUAGUUAAGGAACUCGGCAAAUUGACUCCGUAACUUCGGAAUAAGGAGUGCUCGAAAGAGCCGCAGAGAAUAGGCCCAGGCGACUGUUUAGCAAAAACACAGGUCUCUGCCAAAUCGAAAGAUGAAGUAUAGGGGCUGACACCUGCCCGGUGCCGGAAGGUUAAGAGGAGGAGUGCAAGCUCCGAAUUGAAGCCCCGGUAAACGGCGGCCGUAACUAUAACGGUCCUAAGGUAGCGAAAUUCCUUGUCGGGUAAGUUCCGACCCGCACGAAUGGUGUAACGAUCUGGGCACUGUCUCAACUACCCACCCGGCGAAAUUGUAGUACCGGUGAAGAUGCCGGUUACCUGCGGCAAGACGGAAAGACCCCAUGGAGCUUUACUGUAGCCUGAUAUUGGGUUUCGGAAAUCUAUGUACAGGAUAGGCGGGAGACUGGGAAGUAUGAGCGUCAGCUUAUACGGAGUCAUUGUUGGGAUACCGCCCUUAGGUUUCUGGAAUUCUAACCUGCGACCGUGAAUCCGGUCGGGGGACAUUGUCAGGUGGGCAGUUUGACUGGGGCGGUCGCCUCCGAAAAGGUAACGGAGGCGCUCAAAGGUUGGCUCAGCACGGACGGAAACCGUGCCUCAGAGUGUAAACGCAAAAGCCAGCCUAACUGCGAGGAUGACGGUCCGAGCAGUAACGAAAGUUGGAGUUAGUGAUCCGGCGGUAU